Balaenoptera musculus (blue whale) is the source of this 1958-nucleotide RNA transcript. It is a transcript of the gene named nuclear autoantigen Sp-100-like, with no coding region annotated. The record is from RefSeq and is a predicted model, not a curated record. Lineage: Eukaryota; Metazoa; Chordata; Mammalia; Artiodactyla; Balaenopteridae. The transcript is spliced from 15 exons.
GAACAGACUUCCUGCUCAGGGCUCAGGGCUCCAGCAGCCUCCCCAGACCGAGGCUGGGGAGCCUGGAGGGGUCAGAGGCCAAGCUCAGGCCCAGGCCAGGCUGGGCGGGAAGAUGGCUGGUUGGGGCAGCGAGCUCAUCAGCAGGAUAGCCACAGCAAAUCAGAACACAGACAACAGGCUUAACUUAGAGCCUGCAUUCAGGCACUUCAAAAGACAUAAAGUGGAGAUUUCAACUGCAAUAAAAAAAACAUUUCCUUUCCUUGAGGGUCUUCGUGACCGUGAACUCAUCACCAAUAGAAUGUAUGAAGACUGUCAAGAUUCUUGUAGAAACCUGGUCCCUGUAUCGAGAGUGGUUUACAAUGUUCUCAGUGAGCUGGAGAAGACAUUUGACAUGUCGCUUCUGGAAGCUUUGUUCAGCGAGGUCAACCGGCAGGAAUAUCCUGAUUUAAAUCACAUUUAUGAAAGCUUCAUAAAGGUAAUGCAGGGGAAAAUUAAUCAUGAAGAAAGCAAUGGAGAAGAGAGGGAGGAGAGGCCUACUCUCCCACUAAGCCUUGAGCAAGGUACGACCUCACCUGAAAAUGGACUCUCGGAUAACCUCUGUGAAACAGAACAGAUAAAUGCAAAGAGGAAAGAUACAACCAGUGACCAAAACGAUGCACUAGAAAGCCAACAAGCAAGUGAACAAUGUGCCCAAGAGUCUGAACCAGCAGAGUCCUGCGAACAAGUACCUAUCCAAUCAAAUAAUGGUGAUGCAAGAAAGGAGACACCCAGCCCAUUGCCUUAUGAGGAAGAAAAAGAAAAGCUACCCAACCAUGGAUUUCAAAUCAAUUCCUGUUCUGUCCUUCUGGUGGAUAUAAAGAAGGAAAAGCCAUUUUUUAACCCCGAAGUUGAAUGGCAAACCCAAGCCAGGACUGACUGUAACCAGGCAUCUGAUGUAAUAGUGAUCAGCAGUGAGGACUCCGCAGAAUCCAGUGAUGGAGAGGAGUUCCCAGAACCCUCCACGUCAGCACUGAGAAAGUCGUCUGGAUAUCAUUUUCCACCUUUAACUUUUCUGGCCCUGUUGGGAAGUGGAAGGAGGCAAGAAGAUCCUUGGGAUAUUGAAAACACAUCAAUUUGCAGCAUAAGCCAUAGGAAAAGACGAAUCAGCAGUAGUGACACUUCAGAACUGAGUAACGAAGAUGAGCUUCAGGAAACGUCUAACUCAGUCCUAAGAAAUGGGUCAGAUACCAUGGAUACUGGAAGCGAUUCUGCUUUGGGAAAACACAGUGAGAAAAGAAGGAGAAAAACAGUCAACACUGGGCCUUUGAAAAGAGGCAGAAAAAGAGAGAGAAGCCCCCAGACCUGUCUUUAAAGGAUCCUCCUCAAUGUUGGCCAGAAGGGCAAGAGAAGGUGCUCCUGCUACUGACAUUCUUUCUAAGACUUUCAACACCUGCUUCAGAGGAAUUAGAUGCCAGCACCCUCACCCAAGGAUGUACAGAAACCCUCUCCCUGAGCAAUUUGCAGUUUCUUCUAGAGCAAAUUACCUUCUAGCCACAGAGAAAGCUCACAUGAAAGAGAAGUGAAACAGAGAGCAAGGUGGGAAGACAGACAUUGCCCCUGCUGGGGGUCCCAUUGCAAUCCUGCUUUUUUCCCCAGCAGGAGGAAAAUUAUCAUGCAAUAGGUAGUUGGGACCAGCAAGCUUGGGAAUCAGAUCCUUCCACAAGAGGUUUGUAUAUAGGAUUUUAGAUGAUGGUGGUGAAGGGUGACGUUAUCUUUAUGUACCUAACCUGCCUAGAAAUGUACCUGAUUCAUGGGGCAAAUCCUUCCAUUACAUUUUAACUUAUAAAGAAGUAUCUCAAGAUGGGUGAGGAGAGACGGUACACAGCUUUAGAGCAAGAUGGAAUGAAGAAACCAAUGCUUCCUUGCAGGUCCAAGAAUUCCCAAAGUAACAUAUACGGAUUUUCAGCUUCCUGAACUUC